Non-coding RNA from Pimephales promelas (fathead minnow), 710 nucleotides. The record is from RefSeq and is a predicted model, not a curated record. NCBI's taxonomy places the organism in Eukaryota, Metazoa, Chordata, Actinopteri, Cypriniformes, Leuciscidae.
CACAUUUUCAUUCCUGUCCAUCAUUUCAUCUCGCUUACUGUAAUCUGUCCAUUUCAUUUCACUAUAGGUUCUGGCUCAGAGUCUCCAUUGUCUUUGGAGGGUUUUAGUGGACGCUGAAAGAGAGCAACGUGAGAGGAAAACAACGGAGUUUGACAGACGGAAAAAGAGCAAAUCGACAUUCUGCAAAACAUCUCCUCCCUAUGUUUCACAGAUCAUGACGGGAUACAUUGGCCUUAGGAAGUGCGCAGCGAGUGCCAGCAGGCCUUAUCAUCUUAAAAGCAGGAACGGUCUGAUCUCGAUGUUGACCUUGAGUUGAUCUGAGCUGAUGGAUGGAUGGCCUGAUUGGAGAUACUCGUCUCUGCUCUUCAUUUCCCUCGGGCGACGGGAGAGUUGGUCCUACCGUGACCCAACCCUCGAGUCAUGCAGAUGUUUCGAUGACGGUUUGCCAGACACACAUUCGAGGAAAUGUUACGUUUUUAACAGGAUUUAUGGGGUGGUUGGAUCACUAUAAGGACCUGUAGAGAAGAUAAACAGCCAAGACAAAAGAAGUGGCUUCUUCCCGAACUCUUUCUGAGCUGUGUGAGAGUGAUGGUCCGUGUCUGCAGGACUGCAGUGAGGACAGUGUCAGCGUGACUGAUGGCGGCCGCUCGGAGACAGGCUGUGUUGGAGCUAGCGGAGCGUGUAAUGAACGCUAACUCACUCUCAGCGGU